UACAGAGGGGGCAAGCGUUGUUCGGAAUUACUGGGCGUAAAGGGCGCGUAGGCGGCCUUCUAAGUCGAACGUGAAAUCCCUGGGCUCAACCCAGGAACCGCGUCCGAUACUGGAAGGCUUGAAUCCGGGAGAGGGAUGCGGAAUUCCAGGUGUAGCGGUGAAAUGCGUAGAUAUCUGGAGGAACACCGGUGGCGAAGGCGGCAUCCUGGACCGGUAUUGACGCUGAGGCGCGAAAGCCAGGGGAGCAAACGGG
This 253-nucleotide ribosomal RNA is filed under the name uncultured bacterium. Its description in RNAcentral is "partial 16S ribosomal RNA". It matches the Rfam family "Bacterial small subunit ribosomal RNA", at positions 524 to 776 of the family's 1533-position model. The record is from RNAcentral.